AAUGAACGCUGGCGGCAUGCCUAAUACAUGCAAGUCGAGCGGACGGACGGGAAGCUCUCUUCCCUGCUGUUAGCGACGGGCGGGUGAGUAAUACGUAGAUCACCUACUUAUAAGACUGGGGUGACUACGGGGGACCGGAUACGCUAUCGGUUCAUAUUUUGAACGGGUGGGAUCAUGGGAGCUUCCGGCAUUUGCUGACACUUUUAGAUGAUUCCGCGUUGCAUUAGCUAGUUGGUAGGGUACCGGCCUACCAAGGCUACGAUGCGUAGCUGACCGGAGAGGGUGAUCGGCCACACUGGAACUGAGACACGGUCCAGACUCCUACGGGAGGCAGCAGUAGGGAAUAUUGCACAAUGGGCGAAAGCCUGAUGGAGCAAUGCCGCGUGAGUGAAGAAGGUCUUCGGAUUGUAAAGCUCUGUUAUUGGGGAAGAACAGAAGUGGAAUAAACCCUGCAUGUCUUGACGGUACCUAAAGAAAAAGCAACGGCUAACUUCGUG
This 497-nucleotide ribosomal RNA is filed under the name uncultured bacterium. Its description in RNAcentral is "partial 16S ribosomal RNA". It matches the Rfam family "Bacterial small subunit ribosomal RNA", at positions 29 to 507 of the family's 1533-position model. The record is from RNAcentral.